CCCUACCCUCUCGUCUCUCCCACCUCUCAUGAGAUAACCCUAAUUCCGUCCACCACCGUGUACCGCCGACCAGAAAUUGCCUCCGCCGCUGGUGAUCGUCCAAAGACCCCCAAAUUAACACCACCUGACCACCUUGCCUUCCUCUUUCCAAAUCUACACCCUGUUUCCCUCAAAAAUCCUACCCAAACUGAUGGAAUAUCACUUUGAAAUACUGACCCAUCCAUUGUGGCCAGUGACACCACCACCCAUUACCACCAUUUUAACACCAUAUGUUCUCCCAGACCCCCUCAUCACGAAUCCACCAGUAUUUUCCUUCAAAUCUCAGCCGAACUUGUCAUAUACUCAAUAAAAAUCUCACCCUAUAACCUUCUUAACCCUCUCAUCUCAAAUCUGCACUCAAACGCACUCAAACGUCUCUACAAC
This 423-nucleotide long non-coding RNA is filed under the name Nicotiana benthamiana. Its description in RNAcentral is "long non-coding RNA (NBEN_LNC015406)". The record is from RNAcentral. Lineage: Eukaryota; Viridiplantae; Streptophyta; Magnoliopsida; Solanales; Solanaceae.